UCCGGAAUUAUUGGGCAUAAAGGGCAUUUAGGCGGCCGGAUAAGUCUGGGGUGAAAACCUGCGGCUCAACCGCAAGCCUGCCCUGGAAACUAUGCGGCUAGAGUACUGGAGAGGUGGACGGAACUGCACGAGUAGAGGUGAAAUUCGUAGAUAUGUGCAGGAAUGCCGAUGAUGAAGAUAGUUCACUGGACGGUAACUGACGCUGAAGUGCGAAAGCUAGGGGAGCAAACAGGAUUAGAUACCCUGGUAGUCCUAGCUGUAAACGAUGAUUACUGGGUGUGGGCAUGAAGAGUGUCCGUGCCGAAGCUAAUGCGAUAAGUAACCCGCCUGGGGAGUACGGCCGCAAGGCUAAAACUCAAAGGAAUUGACGGGGGCCCGCACAAG
This 384-nucleotide ribosomal RNA is filed under the name uncultured bacterium. RNAcentral's name for it is "bacterial SSU rRNA". It matches the Rfam family "Bacterial small subunit ribosomal RNA", at positions 544 to 929 of the family's 1533-position model. The record is from RNAcentral.